This 290-nucleotide ribosomal RNA is filed under the name Paenibacillus sp. 276b. Its description in RNAcentral is "partial 16S rRNA. Bacterial SSU". It matches the Rfam family "Bacterial small subunit ribosomal RNA", at positions 1 to 275 of the family's 1533-position model. Lineage: Bacteria; Bacillati; Bacillota; Bacilli; Caryophanales; Paenibacillaceae. The record is from RNAcentral.
CUUUAUUGGAGAGUUUGAUCCUGGCUCAGGACGAACGCUGGCGGCAUGCCUAAUACAUGCAAGUCGAGCGGACUUUCUGAGAAGCUUGCUUCUCUGAUGGUUAGCGGCGGACGGGUGAGUAACACGUAGGCAACCUGCCCUCAAGUUUGGGACAACUACCGGAAACGGUAGCUAAUACCGAAUAGUUGUUUUCUUCUCCUGAAGAGAACUGGAAAGACGGAGCAAUCUGUCACUUGGGGAUGGGCCUGCGGCGCAUUAGCUAGUUGGUGGGGUAACGGCUCACCAAGGCG